RNAcentral lists this transfer RNA (72 nucleotides) under Ipomoea nil (Japanese morning glory). It matches the Rfam family "tRNA". From Rfam's summary of the family: Transfer RNA (tRNA) molecules are approximately 80 nucleotides in length. Their secondary structure includes four short double-helical elements and three loops (D, anti-codon, and T loops). Further hydrogen bonds mediate the characteristic L-shaped molecular structure. tRNAs have two regions of fundamental functional importance: the anti-codon, which is responsible for specific mRNA codon recognition, and the 3' end, to which the tRNAs corresponding amino acid is attached (by aminoacyl-tRNA synthetases). tRNAs cope with the degeneracy of the genetic code in two manners: having more than one tRNA (with a specific anti-codon) for a particular amino acid; and 'wobble' base-pairing, i.e. permitting non-standard base-pairing at the 3rd anti-codon position. The record is from Rfam by way of RNAcentral. Lineage: Eukaryota; Viridiplantae; Streptophyta; Magnoliopsida; Solanales; Convolvulaceae.
GCCUGUCUAGCUCAGUGGGUAGAGCGUAAGGCUUUAACUUUGUGGUCAUGGAUUCAAGCCCCACGGUGGGUG